CCGCUAAUACCCCAUAUGCCGAGAGGUGAAAUGAAAUUCGCCUGAGGAUGAGCUCGCGUCUGAUUAGCUAGUUGGUAGGGUAAAGGCCUACCAAGGCAUUGAUCAGUAGCUGGUCUGAGAGGAUGAUCAGCCACACUGGGACUGAGACACGGCCCAGACUCCUACGGGAGGCAGCAGUGGGGAAUUUUCCGCAAUGGGCGCAAGCCUGACGGAGCAACGCCGCGUGAGGGAUGAAGGCCUCUGGGCUGUAAACCUCUUUUAUCAAGGAAGAAGAACUGACGGUACUUGAUGAAUAASCCACGGCUAAUUCCGUGCCGGCAGCCGCGGUAAUACGGGAGUGGCAAGCGUUAUCCGGAAUUAUUGGGCGUAAAGCGUCCGCAGGCGGUUUUACAAGUCUGUCGUUAAAGCGAGGAGCUCAACUCCAUUUCASCGAUGGAAACUGUAAGACUCGAGUGUGGUAGGGGCAGAGGGAAUUCCCGGUGUAGCGGUGAAAUGCGUAAAUAUCGGGAAGAACACCAGUGGCGAAAGCGCUCUGCUGGGCCAUAACUGACGCUCAUGGACGAAAGCCAGGGGAGCGAAAGGGAUUAGAUACCCCUGUAGUC
This 602-nucleotide ribosomal RNA is filed under the name uncultured cyanobacterium. RNAcentral describes it as "bacterial SSU rRNA". It matches the Rfam family "Bacterial small subunit ribosomal RNA", at positions 160 to 795 of the family's 1533-position model. The record is from RNAcentral. Lineage: Bacteria; Bacillati; Cyanobacteriota.